Daphnia magna is the source of this 3351-nucleotide long non-coding RNA. RefSeq lists it as uncharacterized. The transcript is spliced from 7 exons. The record is from RefSeq and is a predicted model, not a curated record. NCBI's taxonomy places the organism in Eukaryota, Metazoa, Arthropoda, Branchiopoda, Diplostraca, Daphniidae.
GUCAUUACUUAAAAUUUUGGCAUUUAUUGGUAAUCCUGCAAUUCCGAUCUUGAUGGCAUUGCGUAUAUGGUCUUUAAAGGACAUAUCUUGUUUUAUCUUCAAACUAGUGAAAAUUGAAGGUGAAAAAGCAAAUGUGUGAUCGUUAAGGAAUAGUCUGUUUUUCUCUGGUUACGUGGUUUUUUUAUUGCAAUACCCAGCGGCAAAAAAGGGAAGGAAAGAGUUAAAAGAAUGCCACAAGGUAUAUGUAUACCUGACAACGUCAUUAAAGGUGGGGUAAGAAUAAUAUGACCCUUGUAAUUAUCAAUACCAUAGGCUAGUGGCGUGCAGGAGGGGGACAAAAAUUCUCAUAAAAUGAGGACAAAACAAAACAACCAGCAGUAGUUCAAGUGAUGGAUCCCAGAUAAAGUUCCAUCUCCAAGCAUUAUGAAAUCAAAAUGAGUCAUUGUUUGACUCUUAUCUCACUUCUCACUUCUCUCACAAUUUCAUCAUGCUUCAGAAGCAUAAUGAAAUCAAAUUGAGUCAUUGUUUGACUCUUCUUGAUUUCAUAAUGCUUGGAUGUGGAACUUUAUCUGGGAUCCAUUACUUGAACUACUGCUGGUGUCUUCAGUGAAUCAUGGAAAACUCUUCAGGUGAGAAAGAUUAAAGUUUAUGUGCGUAUAUAUUGUAGAAACCCAGGCACAAGUCGGUGGAUUGAGACGUUAGUAGGAGACUUAGAACAUUAGCAAUAACGUAUGCAAGUGUAGAUUGGUACCGGUAGGUAAAACGGAAAUAACUUCUUAAUUUUUCAUAGAUAAGAUAAUUGAAGUCACCAGCUUGGCCGAGUGGUUAAGUCGCCAGACUUAAGUUUUCGUCUCUUUAUAGAGACGUGAGUGCGAUUCUCACACCUGGUAGCUUUCUUGUCCUUAUCAAAUGUGGUAUUCAUUUAAUAGAGUUGCCUUAAAUCAUAAGAUAAAUAGAAGUUUAUGAUUGAAAUAUGGUACGAGAAAGGUGAGGUUGUAAUCUCCGUAUUCCAUUUGUACACACUGAGAAAGAGAUGACAUGGUCAUGAGCGAGAUGUUACCUUUCUUCAAGCGCAUCUGUGUUUAACAUCUGCAGGAAUUAAAAAAAAAAUAGUCCAUAAACAGCUUAAUUAUGUGUUACACGUCAUUAAACGUCCGCUCGGGAUCGUAUCGACCCCUCUCAACAUGCGCAGCAUUUACCUCUUCAUGAUAAUUGGUUCUGUGUGGCCUGUUUCUAAAUGGAUGGUGCGAAGAGGAAGUUGGCGAAACCGAUCAGAUAAUCAGCGCUUAUCGCGUUCCCAAUAAUAGAAUUUAUCCCCACCUGAGGAACCGAUUACGACAAGAAACAUUUAAGUGCUCUGGUACUUUAGUUGGGCAAAGAAAAGUUUUAACAGCCGCUUUGUACUUUGAACGGUUUGAUUCGAAUACAUUUCAGCCAACCUUUUUCACACCUGUCGCACGGAUGAAGACAGAAAUUCUAGGCGGUCCGUACACAAUAUGGUGGAACGUUAUCCGUGUCGUUAAGCAUAUCCGCAGAACAAUCCAGCAAACGCCGGUAAUUACGACAAUAUUGCCGUUGUUAUACUGGACUUAGAAGUGCUCGCCAGCUCGGUCACUCCCGUCCAGUUGGGGUACACAUUAUUCCCGAGAAUCGGAAUUGAUCAGUUGGUCACCGUCGGCUGGGGCAACUCAGCAACUACGGUAUCGACGACGGAUUCUUAUGACACGAAAGUCUUAUUCACACCUAACGUAUCAACUGUAACUUAACUCAUCAAGGGGUUAACGAAAUGUCUUCUCAUAAUUUGGCUCAAGCGGAUAAACAACGCAUUGAGUUUGAGACAACAGUUUGCCAUCUUCGAAGACAAGCACCUUUGAUUUGUCAUUUAGGGUGCGUUUUAUCGUCAACUUUAUGGCAACAGGUUUCGCCACGAUAAAAAAAAAAUAAUUUUUUUCACCCCCCUUUUUUUUUCUAAUCGCGGCCAUCUAGCGCUCGAUUUUUAACUCGGUUUCCUAAGUCAUUUGAGAAAAUAUUUUAAAAGAGUGUCACGUUGAUCAGUCUCUCCAACUGCAUUCAACUGUUCAUAUUGCUGAGUCUAUCAUAUUGCAAGCCUAUUAAUUGCCUUUUAUUCAGUGUGGCAUUGCAGUCCAAGUGUCCACAUUUGCUGAGCCUAUCCGACAGCAUUCCAGUGUCCACCUUGCUGAACCUAUCCAACAGCAUUCAAGUGUUCACUAAAGCCCUCGAUCGACGUCAACAAGAUCUCAUAAACAAUAUUCAACGAGAAAAUGUAAUUCCAGAACAAGCACACGAAAUUGAUCGACGUCAAGGACAAGUUCUCAUGUGUAUCGUUCUGCAAUGCCACCGUACUCUAGGAAAACAUAACGAAGCAGAGAAACUUUAAGAAGCUAUCACAAAAAUGGUUUCUCAAGAACAUCUAGAUCGAAAAAUCGCUACUUUAGUACUCGAUCACCAUCAAGAAGUUCUCUUAAAAAUGGUUCACUGAGUAAUUUCAGAAACAACUCAAGGAGAAGAUCGACGUCAAGGUCAAGUUCUGACAUGUCUGCUUUCAUAAGACCAUUGUAUUGUAGGGAAAGAUCACGAACAUCGGGAGAACAACUAAGUCGAGAAAACGCUACACAAGUAGUCCCACAACAUGAAGAGAAUAUCAUAAAUACGGCUCACUGAGGAAAUCUAAUUCCAGAAAAAUCUCUUGGAGUAGAUCGACGUCAAGAUCAAGUUCUUAUAUGUCUCUUUCAACCAAUCAAAAUUACUAGAGAAAAAGAUCACGAAGUAGAUCGACGUCAAGGGCAUGUUCCAAUUUCUUUCGUUCUACAAGACCAUCAAAAUCCUCAAUAAUUCCUCCAACUCACGAAAACUUUACAAUUCCCUCUGGCCUAUUCGAUAUAACUCAAUAAAACUUUUCAUCGCAAGAAGAACUUCUAAAAUAUUAGAAAAAAGUUGGUUGUACAAUUGUUUCAGGGAGGGUCUUCAAAACAAUGAUUCCUCUAUCAUCAGAGGUAAUUGAAAUAAUAGAAGAACCUCAAAAUAUGGAGCCUGUUUUGCCAAGUUAUGAUGUUGAACUGCAACAAAAUGCUUUGUAUGACGAUGUGUUUGGAACUGUAAACGGUAAAUAUUCUAUUCGAGAAUGUUUCAUAGAAACUUGUGUUUCUGAAAGAAACCAGACAGCAGGUUGAAACAGCUUUGUCGGAAGAGAAAGUUGAAGAAAUCGAUUCAAGGCAGUUGAAAAUUGUUAUUAAUUUAUUAUUAGAGUGUGUCAAAUCUUUGCGCUGUCUGGUGUACUUAGAAAAUUUGCAAGACGAUGUAACAACACAAUACAAAGUCGAUCGAUGUGAA